AGUUUGAUCAUGGCUCAGAUUGAACGCUGGCGGCAUGCCUUACACAUGCAAGUCGAACGGCAGCGGGCCUUCGGGUGCCGGCGAGUGGCGAACGGGUGAGUAAUGCAUCGGAACGUGCCAUUGAGUGGGGGAUAACGUAGCGAAAGUUACGCUAAUACCGCAUAUUCUGUGAGCGGGGAAGCAGGGGACCGCAAGGCCUUGCGCUCUUUGAGCGGCCGAUGUCAGAUUAGCUAGUUGGUGAGGUAAAGGCUUACCAAGGCGACGAUCUGUAGCGGGUCUGAGAGGAUGAUCCGCCACACUGGAACUGAGACACGGUCCAGACUCCUACGGGAGGCAGCAGUGGGGAAUUUUGGACAAUGGGCGCAAGCCUGAUCCAGCCAUGCCGCGUGAGUGAAGAAGGCCUUCGGGUUGUAAAGCUCUUUCGGCCGGGAAGAAAUCGCAUGGGUUAAUACCCUGUGUGGAUGACGGUACCGGAAUAAGAAGCACCGGCUAACUACGUG
RNAcentral lists this ribosomal RNA (500 nucleotides) under uncultured bacterium. Its description in RNAcentral is "bacterial SSU rRNA". It matches the Rfam family "Bacterial small subunit ribosomal RNA", at positions 10 to 507 of the family's 1533-position model. The record is from RNAcentral.